AAAGGGGUCGGCGUGAGGCGAAAACGCCAGACGCGCCGAUAACGUUUCGCCGUAAGCACGGGCCGUGGAACCGCGAGCGUUCCGAGUUACGUAAAGCCGUCGCGGUUUUUUGUGAGCGGUGUUUUUAAAUGCAACCAAGUGUAUUAGUGAACUAGUUAAAGAUUAUUUUGUGUGCGCUUUAACGGAAUAUGUGAAGUGACAGUGACUGUGUCGAGUGAUGAAUAGUGAACAGUGAACAAAAUGGACAGAAACACGGCCGAAUCUAGCAAGGGCCAGUUGUGCGGGCAAGUGCGUCGGUUCCAAGACAAAUCGCCCGAUAUAUCGUCCGAUUUGUCGUUCGAGGAGUUGAGGAAUAAGUUCGAUACGAGAGCGCCACGCGCGGCGAGGAACGAAAUCGCUUCGAACCCCGCUACGCAUGGCAGCGCGACUAGGCAAGUCGUCAGUGGGAAAGUGUUCAAGAAGUGCAAGAGCGCUACGUUUCAGAUAGAUGGCGCCACUUAUACUAUUUAGAUUAGAUUAGAUUACUCGGGCUGGUUUCCGCAACUCCACGACAAAGCGCGUAUUUUGCGUGUGAGGGUGAUAAUGGGUGUUUAUUCACUCGAUCCACCCCAACUCCUCGAGAAAAGCCAGCAGAGGUUUAAUUUUGCUGACUAUCUCUUGGAUAGUACCUGGGUUACCGAAGUACUUAGCCCUGUAUAUGGCGGUUUCAGGGCAGUCUAGUAGCACGUGUGCCGCUGUUUCUUCUUCCCCCAUGCAGGCUCUGCAUAAGGGACUGUCUGUAACUCCUAUAACAUAGAGGUGUUUAUUGAAGGAGCCGUGUCCAGUUAGAACUGCCGUAAACUUACGUAAAUUCUGCUUUGAUAGGCCCAUCAGCUGUUUAGUGAGGCGAUCGUUGAUGGUCGGGAGGGCCAUCUUCGCCUGCCUGCACGCGCUGUGGUUAGUCCAGAGGUGGUUGUGUUUGUGCCUAGUACGCUGUCUUACCAGUGUUCGUAGGUGGCCGAAGGGAGUGGCAGUAUGGGUUCUGGUCCUACUGCUGUUUGGUCUGAUCCCCUUCUCGCCAGCUCAUCCGCUGCAUCGUUGCCUCGGGAGCCACUGUGUCCUUUUAUCCAUUGAAUGGUUAUGUUAUUUAAACUGCCUACCUUGUUUAACCGUUGGUGGCACUCGUGUAUAAGGCCGGAGUUUGCGCAGUGUUUGCUUAGGGCCUGUAUUACUGCCAUGCUAUCUGAGAGUAUUCGGAUAGAGUGACCGGUUACUUCCCGCUUUAUGACUGCUUCGGCCGCUAGGGAGAUGCCUAUACAUUCAGCUUGGAAUACUGUAUUAUGUACUCCUAGGGGUGUGAAUAUGUGUAUGUUUAGGUCUUCUGAGAAGAGGCCUGAACCUGUGCCGGUGCUUGUUUUGGAU
Long non-coding RNA from Helicoverpa armigera (cotton bollworm), 1401 nucleotides. RefSeq lists it as uncharacterized. The record is from RefSeq and is a predicted model, not a curated record. The transcript is spliced from 2 exons. Lineage: Eukaryota; Metazoa; Arthropoda; Insecta; Lepidoptera; Noctuidae.